RNAcentral lists this long non-coding RNA (419 nucleotides) under Sorghum bicolor (sorghum). RNAcentral's name for it is "long non-coding RNA (SBIC_LNC008610)". The record is from RNAcentral. Lineage: Eukaryota; Viridiplantae; Streptophyta; Magnoliopsida; Poales; Poaceae.
ACUGCACAAGUUGUACUCCAAAGUUAAUACUCAAAACCUAUUACAAGUUGUACUUCAUCAUCCAAAGAUCUACAAAGCAUACAAAUGAUCAUCAUUGUUUGGAAUCAUCUUCUCGUUAGGAUUAUAGUGGAACUCGCCGCUUGGAUUUAUGACUUGUUUCGGAAGAAAUCCUGCUAUUGGCUCUUGUAUUGCUUGGAGUUGUUCAUGUUGCAUGAGUUUUUGCUUUAACCAUUCAAUCUUCAAUUUGAAUUAAAAGAAGGUAUUAGUUAUAUCAAGAUUAUCAAUAGUAAUUCGAGAGAAAAUGAAAAGAGACAUGUGUUACAUACUCUGAGGUAUUUUUUUUAGGAAUUCUAUUUGUUACUGUCAUAAUAUACUCGCAAACGUAGUAUCCACAUAAGUUGUUUCCCGGUUCUUGUCUC